CACGCCGUAAACGAUGAGUGCUAAGUAUCGGGGGAUUUCGGUGCUUAAGCUAACGCAGUAAGCACUCCGCCUGGGGAGUACGGUCGCAAGACUGAAACUCAAAGGAAUUGACGGGGACUCGCACAAGCGGUGGAGCAUGCGGUUUAAUUCGAUGCAACGCGAAGAACCUUACCAGGUCUUGACAGUGUAAAGAAUACUUAAGAGAUUAAGGGCUACGAAUUAAGCUUGCUUGAUUUACUUUAUAAACAGGUGG
This 253-nucleotide ribosomal RNA is filed under the name uncultured Bacillota bacterium. RNAcentral's name for it is "uncultured Firmicutes bacterium partial 16S ribosomal RNA". It matches the Rfam family "Bacterial small subunit ribosomal RNA", at positions 796 to 1041 of the family's 1533-position model. Lineage: Bacteria; Bacillati; Bacillota. The record is from RNAcentral.